This 458-nucleotide ribosomal RNA is filed under the name uncultured bacterium. RNAcentral's name for it is "SSU rRNA". It matches the Rfam family "Bacterial small subunit ribosomal RNA", at positions 26 to 518 of the family's 1533-position model. The record is from RNAcentral.
AGAAUCAACGCUGGCGGCGUGCCUAACACAUGCAAGUCGAACGAGAAAGUGGAGCAAUCCAUUAGUAAAGUGGCGCACGGGUGAGUAACACGUGACUAACCUACCCUUGAGUGGGGGGAUAACCUAGAGAAAUCUGGGCUAAUACCGCAUAAUACCUUCGGGUCAAAGGAGCAAUUCGCUUAAGGAGGGGGUCGCGGCCGAUUAGUUAGUUGGCGGGGUAAUGGCCCACCAAGACUAUGAUCGGUAUCCGGCCUGAGAGGGCGCACGGACACACUGGAACUGAAACACGGUCCAGACUCCUACGGGAGGCAGCAGUGGGAAUUUGCGCAAUGGGGGAAACCCUGACGCAGCAACGCCGCGUGGAGGAUGAAGCCCCUUGGGGCGUAAACUCCUUUCGAUCGGACGAUAAUGACGGUACCGAGAGAAGAAGCCCCGGCUAACUUCGCGCCAGCAGCCGC